Molecule: ribosomal RNA, 465 nt
Filed under: Vreelandella stevensii
Lineage: Bacteria; Pseudomonadati; Pseudomonadota; Gammaproteobacteria; Oceanospirillales; Halomonadaceae
Description: partial 16S ribosomal RNA
Rfam family: Bacterial small subunit ribosomal RNA
Source: RNAcentral
CCUACGGGCGGCAGCAGUGGGGAAUAUUGGACAAUGGGCGAAAGCCUGAUCCAGCCAUGCCGCGUGUGUGAAGAAGGCCUUCGGGUUGUAAAGCACUUUCAGUGGGGAAGAAAGCCUUGGGGCUAAUACCCUCGAGGAAGGACAUCACCCACAGAAGAAGCACCGGCUAACUCCGUGCCAGCAGCCGCGGUAAUACGGAGGGUGCGAGCGUUAAUCGGAAUUACUGGGCGUAAAGCGCGCGUAGGCGGUCUGAUAAGCCGGUUGUGAAAGCCCCGGGCUCAACCUGGGAACGGCAUCCGGAACUGUCAGGCUAGAGUGCAGGAGAGGAAGGUAGAAUUCCCGGUGUAGCGGUGAAAUGCGUAGAGAUCAGGAGGAAUACCAGUGGCGAAGGCGGCCUUCUGGACUGACACUGACGCUGAGGUGCGAAAGCGUGGGUAGCAAACAGGAUUAGAUACCCUUGUAGUC